RNAcentral lists this ribosomal RNA (521 nucleotides) under uncultured Acidobacteriota bacterium. Its description in RNAcentral is "bacterial SSU rRNA". It matches the Rfam family "Bacterial small subunit ribosomal RNA", at positions 32 to 532 of the family's 1533-position model. Lineage: Bacteria; Pseudomonadati; Acidobacteriota. The record is from RNAcentral.
AACGCUGGCGGCGUGCCUCAGACAUGCAAGUCGAACGAGAAAGUCCCCUUCGGGGGAUAAGUAAAGUGGCGCACGGGUGAGUAACACGUAGGUAAUCUAUCUUCGGGUGGGGAAUAACCCAGGGAAACUUGGGCUAACACCGCAUAAUGUAGCGGCACCACAUGGUGACAGUUGUUAAAGCGGGGGAUUUUAGGACCUCUCGCCUGAAGAGGAGCCUGCGGCGGAUUAGCUAGUUGGUGAGGUAACGGCUCACCAAGGUAACGAUCCGUAGCCGGCCUGAGAGGGCGGUCGGCCACACUUACACUGACAUACGGGUCAGACUCCUACGGGAGGCAGCAGUCGGGAAUUUUGGGCAAUGGGCGAAAGCCUGACCCAGCAACGCCGCGUGAAGGAUGAAAUUCCUCGGGAUGUAAACUUCGCAAGAAUGGGAAGAAUUAGUAGGGGUUAAUUCCCCCUAUGAUGACGGUACCAUUUGUAAGCUCCGGCUAACUCCGUGCCAUCAGCCGCGGUAAUAAGGGCGU